Euleptes europaea (tarantolino) is the source of this 83-nucleotide small nucleolar RNA. RefSeq annotates it as small nucleolar RNA SNORD45. Lineage: Eukaryota; Metazoa; Chordata; Lepidosauria; Squamata; Sphaerodactylidae. The record is from RefSeq and is a predicted model, not a curated record. The transcript has a single exon.
GGUCAGUGAUGAGACCUGAAAUGUAUCUGAAUCUAUUGCUGAUGUGGUUUUCACACUUAGCUCUAGAAUUACUCUGAGACCUG